GCGGGUAUAGCUCAGUGGUAGAGCACAUGCUUAGUAGGCACGACGUUCUGGGUUCAUUCCCCAGUACCUCCA
Molecule: transfer RNA, 72 nt
Filed under: Camelus bactrianus (Bactrian camel)
Lineage: Eukaryota; Metazoa; Chordata; Mammalia; Artiodactyla; Camelidae
Also listed under: 2 other names
Rfam family: tRNA
About the family: Transfer RNA (tRNA) molecules are approximately 80 nucleotides in length. Their secondary structure includes four short double-helical elements and three loops (D, anti-codon, and T loops).
Source: Rfam by way of RNAcentral